RNAcentral lists this ribosomal RNA (475 nucleotides) under uncultured bacterium. Its description in RNAcentral is "bacterial SSU rRNA". It matches the Rfam family "Bacterial small subunit ribosomal RNA", at positions 8 to 507 of the family's 1533-position model. The record is from RNAcentral.
AGAGUUUGAUCAUGGCGUCAGGAUGAACGCUGGCGGCGUGCCUAACACAUGCAAGUCGAGCGAUUCUACUUCGGAGAAGAGCGGCGGACGGGUGAGUAACGCGUGGGUAACCUGCCUGUACACACGGAUAACAUACCGAAAGGUAUGCUAAUACGAGAUAAUAUGCUUUUAUCGCAUGGUAGAAGUAUCAAAAGCUCCGGCGGUACAGGAUGGACCCGCGUCUGAUUAGCUAGUUGGUAAGGUAAACGGCUUACCAAGGCGACGAUCAGUAGCCGACCUGAGAGGGUGAUCGGCCACAUUGGAACUGAGACACGGUCCAAACUCCUACGGGAGGCAGCAGUGGGGAAUAUUGCACAAUGGGCGAAAGCCUGAUGCAGCAACGCCGCGUGAGCGAUGAAGGCCUUCGGGUCGUAAAGCUCUGUCCUCAAGGAAGAUAAUGACGGUACUUGAGGAGGAAGCCCCGGCUAACUACGUG